GGCCCGGUAGCUCAGUUGGUAGAGCACUCGCCUGAAGAGCGAGGUGUCAUCAGUUCAAAUCUGAUCUGGGCCACCA
Molecule: transfer RNA, 76 nt
Filed under: Candidatus Peregrinibacteria bacterium CG_4_9_14_3_um_filter_49_12
Lineage: Bacteria; Candidatus Peregrinibacteriota
Also listed under: 3 other names
Description: tRNA-Phe
Rfam family: tRNA
About the family: Transfer RNA (tRNA) molecules are approximately 80 nucleotides in length. Their secondary structure includes four short double-helical elements and three loops (D, anti-codon, and T loops).
Source: RNAcentral